This 75-nucleotide microRNA precursor is filed under the name Bombyx mori (domestic silkworm). Its description in RNAcentral is "mir-2774 microRNA precursor family". It matches the Rfam family "mir-2774 microRNA precursor family". The record is from Rfam by way of RNAcentral. Lineage: Eukaryota; Metazoa; Arthropoda; Insecta; Lepidoptera; Bombycidae.
ACAACAUUUGGACCGUCGUGGCGUCGGUCUACUGAACAAUUUCAUCCGCUCGGUUGAAGAUCUUCCAUUUGUCAU